AGUCGAGGGGUAACAGGGGUAGCAAUACCUGCUGACGACCGGCGUACGGGUGAGUAACGCGUAUGCAACCUGCCCUAUACAGGAGGAUAGCCCGGAGAAAUUCGGAUUAAUACUCCAUGUAGCAUUUUUUUCGCAUGAAUUAGAUGUUAAAGAUUUAUCGGUAUAGGAUGGGCAUGCGUCCCAUUAGCUAGUUGGUGAGGUAACGGCUCACCAAGGCAUCGAUGGGUAUGGGGUCUUAAAGGAUGGUCCCACACACUGGCACUGAGACACGGGCCAGACUCCUACGGGAGGCAGCAGUGAGGAAUAUUGGUCAAUGGGUGAGAGCCUGAACCAGCCAUCCCGCGUGCAGGAUGACGGUCCUAGUGAUUGUAAACUGCUUUUCUAUGAGAUGAAUAAGAAUUACGUGUAGUUCGAUGACCGUAUUAUAGGAAUAAGCAUCGGCUAACUCCGUGCCAGCAGCCGCGGUAAUACGGAGGAUGCAAGCGUUAUCCGGAUUUAUUAGGUUUAAAGGGUGCGUAGGUGGGCGUUUAAGUCAGUGGUUAAAGCCAUUAGCUUAACUAAUGUAUGCCAUUGAUACUGGAUGUCUUGAAUGUGGUAGAGGUAGGCGGAAUGUGUUGUGUAGCGGUGAAAUGCUUAGAUAUAACACAGAACACCGAUUGCGAAGGCAGCUUACUAUUCCAUUAUUGACGCUGAUGCACGAAAGCGUGGGGAUCAAACAGGAUUAGAUACCCCGGUAGUCCUAGCCAUAAACGAUGGUCACUAGGUGUGGGUGGUGGUCAAGCCAUCCGUGCCGGAGCUAACGCAAUAAGUGACCCACCUGGGGAGUACGGCCGCAAGGCUGAAACUCAAAGGAAUUGACGGGGGCCCGCACAAGCGGUGGAGCAUGUGGUUUAAUUCGAAGCAACGCGAAGAACCUUACCAGGCCUUGACAUAUAGGUGGUAGCGAACCGAAAGGCAAGCGACCCUUAGGAAACUAAAGGAGCCUAUACAGGUGGUGCAUGGUUGUCGUCAGCUCGUGUCGUGAGAUGUUGGGUUAAGUCCCGCAACGAGCGCAACCCCUAUACUUAGUUGCCAGCACUUAGGGUGGGCACUCUAAGUAGACUGCCGUCGACAAGACGGAGGAAGGUGGGGAUGACGUCAAAUCAUCAUGCCCUUUAUGGUCUGGGCUACACACGUGCUACAAUGGCCUGAACAACGGGCAGCUAAGGAGCGAUCCCAAGCUAACCCCUAAAAACAGGUCUCAGUUCGGAUUGCAGGCUGCAACUCGCCUGCAUGAAGUAGGAAUCGCUAGUAAUCGCGGAUCAGCAUGCCGCGGUGAAUACGUUCUCGGGCCUUGUACACACCGCCCGUCACACCACGAAAGUUGGCAACACCCGAAGCCGGG
This 1384-nucleotide ribosomal RNA is filed under the name uncultured prokaryote. Its description in RNAcentral is "partial 16S ribosomal RNA". It matches the Rfam family "Bacterial small subunit ribosomal RNA", at positions 60 to 1431 of the family's 1533-position model. The record is from RNAcentral.